GCAGUGGUGGUUCAGUGGCAGAAUUCUCCGCUUCCACGCAGGAGACCUGGGUUCAAUUCCCAGCCAGUGAA
RNAcentral lists this transfer RNA (71 nucleotides) under Loxodonta africana (African savanna elephant). It matches the Rfam family "tRNA". Rfam says of the family: Transfer RNA (tRNA) molecules are approximately 80 nucleotides in length. Their secondary structure includes four short double-helical elements and three loops (D, anti-codon, and T loops). Lineage: Eukaryota; Metazoa; Chordata; Mammalia; Proboscidea; Elephantidae. The record is from Rfam by way of RNAcentral.